GACGAACGCUGGCGGCGUGCCUAAUACAUGCAAGUCGAGCGAAGUGUUUCUGGUGCUUGCACUCGAAAAACUUAGCGGCGCACGGGUGAGUAACACGUAAAAAACCUGCCUCAUAGACUGGGACCACUAUUGGAAACGAUAGCUAAUACCGGAUAACAGUAUUUCUCGCAUGAGAGAUAUUUAAAAGUUGGUUAUGCUAACACUAUGAGAUGGCUUUGCGGUGCAUUAGCUAGUUGGUGGGGUAAAGGCCCACCAAGGCGACGAUGCAUAGCCGACCUGAGAGGGUGAUCGGCCACACUGGAACUGAGACACGGUCCAGACUCCUACGGGAGGCAGCAGUAGGGAAUCUUCCGCAAUGGGCGAAAGCCUGACGGAGCAACGCCGCGUGAGUGAAGAAGGAUUUCGGUUCGUAAAGCUCUGUUGUUAGGGAAGAAUGGAUAUGUAGUAACUAUACAUGUAAGAGACGGUACCUAACCAGAAAGCCACGGCUAACUACGUG
RNAcentral lists this ribosomal RNA (499 nucleotides) under uncultured bacterium. RNAcentral's name for it is "partial 16S ribosomal RNA". It matches the Rfam family "Bacterial small subunit ribosomal RNA", at positions 28 to 507 of the family's 1533-position model. The record is from RNAcentral.